GACGAACGCUGGCGGCGUGCUUAACACAUGCAAGUCGAACGGAAAGGCCCUGCUUUUGUGGGGUGCUCGAGUGGCGAACGGGUGAGUAACACGUGAGUAACCUGCCCUUGACUUUGGGAUAACUUCAGGAAACUGGGGCUAAUACCGGAUAGGAGCUCCUGCUGCAUGGUGGGGGUUGGAAAGUUUCGGCGGUUGGGGAUGGAAUCGCGGGUUAUCAGCUUGUUGGUGGGGUAGUGGCUUACCAAGGCUUUGACGGGUAGCCGGCCUGAGAGGGUGACCGGCCACAGUGGCACUGAGGUGCGGCCCAGACGCCUUCGGGAGGAAGGAGUGGGGACCAUUGCACACAGGGCGGAAGCCUGAUGCAGCAUCGCCGCGUGCGGGAUGACGGCCUUCGGGUAGUAACCCGCUUUCGCCUGUGACGAAGCGUGAGUAACGGUACUGGGUAGAGAGGCACCGCCUAACUCCGU
Molecule: ribosomal RNA, 467 nt
Filed under: uncultured bacterium
Lineage: Bacteria
Description: partial 16S ribosomal RNA
Rfam family: Bacterial small subunit ribosomal RNA
Source: RNAcentral